GGGACUGUGGCUUAGUGGUAGAGUGCUUGCCUAGCAGGCAUGAAGCCCUGUUCGAUUCCUCAGUACCA
RNAcentral lists this transfer RNA (68 nucleotides) under Dipodomys ordii (Ord's kangaroo rat). It matches the Rfam family "tRNA". Rfam says of the family: Transfer RNA (tRNA) molecules are approximately 80 nucleotides in length. Their secondary structure includes four short double-helical elements and three loops (D, anti-codon, and T loops). Lineage: Eukaryota; Metazoa; Chordata; Mammalia; Rodentia; Heteromyidae. The record is from Rfam by way of RNAcentral.